RNAcentral lists this ribosomal RNA (468 nucleotides) under uncultured bacterium. RNAcentral's name for it is "partial 16S ribosomal RNA". It matches the Rfam family "Bacterial small subunit ribosomal RNA", at positions 28 to 507 of the family's 1533-position model. The record is from RNAcentral.
GACGAACGCUGGCGGCGUGCUUAACACAUGCAAGUCGAACGGAAAGGCCCUGCUUUUGUGGGGUGCUCGAGGGGCGAACGGGGGAGUAACACGUGAGUAACCUGCCCUUGACUUAGGGAUAACUUCAGGAAACUGGGGCUAAUACCGGAUAGGAGCUCCUGCUGCAUGGUGGGGGUUGGAAAGUUUCGGCGGUUGGGGAUGGACUCGCGGCGUAUCAGCUUGUUGGUUGGGUAGUGUGUGACCAAGGCUUUGCCGGGUAGCCGGCCUGGGAGGGUGACCGGCCACGCUGGGACUGGAAUACGGCCCAGACUCCUACGGGAGGCAGCAGUGGAGAAUAUUGCACAAUGGGCGGAAGCCUGAUGCAGCAACGCCGCGUGCGGGAUGACGGCCUUCGGGUUGUAAACCGCUUUCGCCUGUGACGAAGCGUGAGUGACGGUAAUGGGUAAAGAAGCACCGGCUAACUACGUG